UCUUCAUUUCACGUGCUCUCUCACCGGUCAGACUGGCGAGAGAGCAUGCGAAAUGAAGAGA
Molecule: non-coding RNA, 61 nt
Organism: Pristionchus pacificus
Lineage: Eukaryota; Metazoa; Nematoda; Chromadorea; Rhabditida; Neodiplogasteridae
Source: Rfam